This 148-nucleotide small RNA is filed under the name Macaca mulatta (Rhesus monkey). RNAcentral's name for it is "Metazoan signal recognition particle RNA (ENSMMUG00000053704.1)". It matches the Rfam family "Metazoan signal recognition particle RNA". Rfam says of the family: The signal recognition particle (SRP) is a universally conserved ribonucleoprotein. It is involved in the co-translational targeting of proteins to membranes. The eukaryotic SRP consists of a 300-nucleotide 7S RNA and six proteins: SRPs 72, 68, 54, 19, 14, and 9. The record is from Rfam by way of RNAcentral. Lineage: Eukaryota; Metazoa; Chordata; Mammalia; Primates; Cercopithecidae.
GCCGGGCGUGGUGGCGCACGCCUGUAGUCCCAGCUACUCAGGAGGCUGAGGCAGAAGAAUUGCUUGAACCCGGGAAGCAGAGGUUGCAGUGAGCCAAGAUUAUGCCACUGUACUCCAGCCUGGGUGACAGAGUGAGACUCCGUCUCAA